Non-coding RNA from Triticum aestivum (bread wheat), 125 nucleotides. The record is from Rfam. Lineage: Eukaryota; Viridiplantae; Streptophyta; Magnoliopsida; Poales; Poaceae.
UAUGUACCCCCUCCGUUCGGAAUUACUCGUCCAAAAAAUAAAUGUAUCUAGAUGUAUUUUAGUUGUAGAUACAUCUAUUUUUAUCCAUUUUUGUGACAAGUAAUUCCGAACGGAGGGAGUAUGUA